GGAGUUGGAACAGAGUGCAGUUUGGGGGAGCUGAAGUAGAGGAGAGUUUGGAGAUGUGCCAUGGCUGCUUAGAAGACCAAGACCCUAGGCUGUCCCCAGACUCUCAGCAUCUGGAAGCACCUUUGAGACUGGACACCCUUCUGUUGUACACCUGUGAACAAGAGUGCAGGUCAGCAUCUGUUGAGAAGUUUUCAUCGCUGCUUAUGCUGAAGAGUGGACAGGGAACAAUUUCAGUUAAAAACGUCUUGAGGAUAACAAGCCUGUUAAUAGCUUAUACUUUCUUUAAGUGGGCAAGGUACAUUUAGCCAUGACAGUUUUCUUUCACUGGAAUCAAGAGCCAUUAUCAGAUGUGACAGGGAAGAAUCAAUGGAAUUCAAUGAACAAAGGUCCUAUACAAUGGGAGCACUUCAGUUCUGGAAAAUGUCUAGGUUGUUUCUUGCUUCAUAGAGGCCACACAGUGGUGAAGCUUACAGUAAGAUUCUUUUCUCCAAUUAAUACUUGAUUCCCAUCACAAGUUUCAAGUAACCCCUUGAGAUAAGUUAAAGAUUUGCACAUUUUAAGGAAAAUAACUGGACUCAUGUGAUUGUAUUAAUAAAUUAUAUCAAAGGGCGCUGGUAUGUUCUUUAACCUGGGUUGAGGGACAAGUAAAGCAUGCUGUAUUAAAGUGUUUUGUUUUAUAUCUUGGUCAAUGUCUUAUUUUAUUAGUUAGUCCAAUGUAAGGUAACUGCUGCUGAGAUAUAUUCAUGCACA
Chelonia mydas (Green sea turtle) is the source of this 750-nucleotide long non-coding RNA. RefSeq lists it as uncharacterized. The record is from RefSeq and is a predicted model, not a curated record. The transcript has 3 exons. NCBI's taxonomy places the organism in Eukaryota, Metazoa, Chordata, Testudines, Cheloniidae.